CCUACGGGUGACUGCAGUCGAGAAUCAUUCACAAUGGGGGAAACCCUGAUGGUGCGACGCCGCGUGGGGGAAUGAAGGUCUUCGGAUUGUAAACCCCUGUCAUGUGGGAGCAAAUUAAAAAGAUAGUACCCCAAGAGGAAGAGACGGCUAACUCUGUGCCAGCAGCCGCGGUAAUACAGAGGUCUCAAGCGUUGUUCGGAAUCACUGGGCGUAAAGCGUGCGUAGGCUGUUUCGUAAGUCGUGUGUGAAAGGCGCGGGCUCAACCCGCGGACGGCACAUGAUACUGCGAGACUAGAGUAAUGGAGGGGGAACCGGAAUUCUCGGUGUAGCAGUGAAAUGCGUAGAUAUCGAGAGGAACACUCGUGGCGAAGGCGGGUUCCUGGACAUUAACUGACGCUGAGGCACGAAGGCCAGGGGAGCGAAAGGGAUUAGAUACCCGAGUAGUC
RNAcentral lists this ribosomal RNA (446 nucleotides) under uncultured bacterium. RNAcentral's name for it is "partial 16S ribosomal RNA". It matches the Rfam family "Bacterial small subunit ribosomal RNA", at positions 338 to 795 of the family's 1533-position model. The record is from RNAcentral.